RNAcentral lists this unclassified non-coding RNA (434 nucleotides) under soil metagenome. RNAcentral's name for it is "partial contains 5.8S ribosomal RNA, internal transcribed spacer 2, and large subunit ribosomal RNA". The stretch from base 1 to 120 matches the Rfam family "5.8S ribosomal RNA", at positions 35 to 154 of the family's 154-position model. The record is from RNAcentral.
GAUGAAGAACGCAGCGAAAUGCGAUACGUAAUGUGAAUUGCAGAAUUCAGUGAAUCAUCGAAUCUUUGAACGCAUAUUGCGCUCUUUGGUAUUCCGAAGAGCAUGCUAGUUUGAGUAUCAGUAAACACCUCAAAGCUUUUGGAUUUUUUAAUCGAAAAGCUUUGGACUUGAGCAAUCCCAACACCAAUCUUUUUGAGAUCGGUGGCGGGUUGCUUGAAAUGCAGGUGCAGCUGGACAUUCUCCUGAGCUAAAAGCAUAUUCAUUUAGUCCCGUCAAACGGAUUAUUACUUUUGCUGCAGCUAACAUAAAGGGAGUUUGACCGUAUUGGCUGACUGAUGCAGGAUUUCACAAGGGUCGGCAACGAUUCUUGUUAAACUCGAUCUCAAAUCAAGUAAGACUACCCGCUGAACUUAAGCAUAUCAAUAAGCGGAGGA